This 253-nucleotide ribosomal RNA is filed under the name uncultured bacterium. RNAcentral describes it as "partial 16S ribosomal RNA". It matches the Rfam family "Bacterial small subunit ribosomal RNA", at positions 524 to 776 of the family's 1533-position model. The record is from RNAcentral.
UACGGAGGGGCCUAGCGUUGUUCGGAAUUACUGGGCGUAAAGCGCACGUAGGCGGAUUUGUAAGUCAGGGGUGAAAUCCCGGGGCUCAACCCCGGAACUGCCUUUGAUACUGCGAAUCUCGAGUCCGGAAGAGGUGAGUGGAAUUCCUAGUGUAGAGGUGAAAUUCGUAGAUAUUCGGAAGAACACCAGUGGCGAAGGCGGCUCACUGGACUGGUAUUGACGCUGAGGUGCGAAAGCGUGGGGAGCAAACAGG